AAUAAACGUUGGCGGCGUGCUUAACACAUGCAAGUCGAGCGAGAAAGGUCUUCGGACUGAGUACAGCGGCAAACGGGGUGAGUAACACGUGGGAAUCUACCUUUUAGUGAAGAAUACCCUCGAGAAAUCGAGGUUAAUACUGCAUACGUCUCGAAAGAGAGAAAGAUGGCCUCUUUGCUGUCGCUGAAAGAUGAGCCUGCGUACUAUUAGCUAGUUGGUAGGUAAAGGCCUACCAAGGCUAUGAUGGUUAGCCGGCCUGAGAGGGUGUACGGCCACACUGGAACUUAGACACGGUCCAGACUCCUACGGGAGGCAGCAGUGAGGAAUAUUGCGCAAUGGGCGAAAGCCUGACGCAGCGACGCCGCGUGGAGGAUGAAGGUCUUAGGAUUGUAAACUUCUGUUAAAGCGGGAAGAAAGACGAAGUGUUAAUACCAC
Molecule: ribosomal RNA, 435 nt
Filed under: uncultured bacterium
Lineage: Bacteria
Description: bacterial SSU rRNA
Rfam family: Bacterial small subunit ribosomal RNA
Source: RNAcentral